RNAcentral lists this ribosomal RNA (484 nucleotides) under uncultured bacterium. RNAcentral's name for it is "partial 16S ribosomal RNA". It matches the Rfam family "Bacterial small subunit ribosomal RNA", at positions 30 to 507 of the family's 1533-position model. The record is from RNAcentral.
AUUGAACGCUGGCGGCAGGCCUAACACAUGCAAGUCGAGCGGAUGGAGGGAGCUUGCUCCUGGAUUCAGCGGCGGACGGGUGAGUAAUGCCUAGGAAUCUGCCUGGUAGUGGGGGAUAACGUCCGGAAACGGGCGCUAAUACCGCAUACGUCCUGAGGGAGAAAGUGGGGGAUCUUCGGACCUCACGCUAUCAGAUGAGCCUAGGUCGGAUUAGCUAGUUGGUGGGGUAAAGGCCUACCAAGGCGACGAUCCGUAACUGGUCUGAGAGGAUGAUCAGUCACACUGGAACUGAGACACGGUCCAGACUCCUACGGGAGGCAGCAGUGGGGAAUAUUGGACAAUGGGCGAAAGCCUGAUCCAGCCACGCCGCGUGUGUGAAGAAGGUCUUCGGAUUGUAAAGCACUUUAAGUUGGGAGGAAGGGCAGUAAGUUAAUACCUUGCUGUUUUGACGUUACCAACAGAAUAAGCACCGGCUAACUUCGUG